This is a non-coding RNA of Pelobates cultripes (western spadefoot toad), 210 nucleotides long. The record is from the annotation of a GenBank genome assembly. NCBI's taxonomy places the organism in Eukaryota, Metazoa, Chordata, Amphibia, Anura, Pelobatidae.
CGCAAAAGUGUCGAAAAACCUUUGGGCUACUCUUGAGCCGAAAGUGAGCCUCAUAAAAAUAGUAUAGACCCGUCCAUUUAAUGCCAUCCAGGUGCCAUAAUGACGGGUGAAUUGGUAGUAACUAGAAUGCAUUCACAAUAUCCAUCUUGCUAAGCCAGACGCCUAUGCCUGCAGGUAUGAUAGUAGUUAUCUCUGCUUGUGUUUUUUCCC